UCACCCUUGUAACUUUUCAAAUUCACCGCUUUGGAAACAUUAUGGAACAUUGCAAGGAGUCCAAUAUACUCAGAAUACCAGUCAAUGUCGCUGUUAUUCUUGUUGAAACUGAGAUGAGUUUCCAACAAAGUCAUAGCACCUAUAGAGAAGGAUACCACAUCACCUUGAUAUCUGAAAAUACUUAAAUUAGGAGCCUCAAUCUUGACUUCAAUCAACCCUGCACAUUCAAAGAUCUUCAGCAUCUUAAGACUGAGACUUGAAAUCUUAAUACUCUUCAACUUGUCACAACCAACCAAAUUCAAAUUCUCGAGGAAUGGAAAGUUAGGAAUUUGGCUACAAAGCCACUCAUCCUUCAGAGAAAGCAGGCGCAGAGUUAAAUUUUUAAUAUUCUUACAGGAGGCUACAUUGAUCUCGCAUGGUAAGCUUAAUUGAAUGCUAACUGUCUUCACAUUCAGAGUUUGGAUAGAAAGCCAUAGAACUUCCAGACAGUUACGGACCUUGAAUUCAUUGAGUUUGGUAAGACCAGAUAGAUCUAGAGUAUUAAAGCCAAGGCAGUUAACCAGACUUAGAUGUUCAAUCAAAGGACAGCCAUCAACUAGGCUCUCAAGGACUAGAUCGGCAGCAUAAACGCUUGUGAGACAUAAUUUUUUCAAAGAAGAUAACUUCACACUUCUCAGAGACUGCAGCUUACAACAACUUAAGGCUAACACUUGUAUUGAUUUUGAGCAUAAAACCUCUUGAGGCAAAUUGUAGCAGCGCUUGUUAUGAGCGUCAACUGAAGGCAUUCCUGGUCUAGUAUCAACAACACGUGCACUAGUAUGAAAUGGAAGUGCGAGUUUCAGCUCUUUGACAUCACUUUCUAAUGCAGAGAAGAUACACCGGUCUACAAAUGGUCCGAGUUCUUUUACCCGUAAUUCAUACAAGUCAAGUGUGAACUUGUCUAACCUUAUCAUCUCCCUGCGGCGGGUGCGCAGAGUUCCCUCUACAUAAUUUAAUGCCCUGCUUAACUUCUCAUCUCCAAGUUGAGCUUCAAUUUUGUUGUUGCAAGAAACCGAAGGAACUUGAUUAAAGAAAGUUUUAUCAAAUUCCAAAAUUGGGAAUGUACGCCAGGCUCGUUCCCAUGCUUGCGACAAAACAGUUGUUUGAACUACUUGUUUAAAUGAGAGGAAUGACAAAAUACAAUGCAGUAUUGGUUCCGGCAAAUUAGAUAUCCUGUCCAUGCUGCUAAGCACCUCCUCCAUAAUAACAAUAUCACCACCAGAUUCCCUGAAUCAGUAGCAACAUCUUCCUUCUAAGUAUGCUAAUUAAAUUGAGACAACUGAGUACUAAUAAUAAUAAGAAUAUUGGCUGGAUUCUAUCAAUUUAAUUCAAUGUAAUAAAGAAAAUAAAUAAUCCUAACAAAAACUCUUUUGAAUUGAACAUGUUUAAUUUCUUUUUUGUACGAGAAGAGACACUGAAACUUUCACUUUCACCGGAAAAAGAAAAAUCAGCCUAAAACAGAACUGAAUUAUUUAUAAAAGAAAAGAAAGGAAAAGAAAAGAAAAAGAGACACGUUAACACAGAACCAAUAUGGAUGAGGAUGAUAAAAUACCUAUUCAUCCGAUCGAUCAAUCGUGACAGUCCAACAGCGACAGCGACGGCAACCGAAACAGCAGAACUGUCAAGAAAGGAUUGAUCUGCUUUAACUAUGUUUUGUAUAGGCUUAAUUUUGAGGAUUCCGAAUCCAAAACAGACAAAGUCACAACAGCAAAAUUAUGUAGGCUCAGUCUGCUCCGUGUAUAUAUAUUUUGAAAAUUCCAAAUCCAAAUCGGACACGUCCUUCUGCUUCUCCUAACGCGAAUCGGACAUGCGGCUAGUCGCUACGCAACAGUAAUUAAGCUUUUUGGAGAUAAGAGUGGUUUCGUUUCCAUCCAUUUUAUGUACUUCCAUCUGUUAGUUGAAGAACUAGUUUGUUACAAAGUACGCAAAUCUAACCCUGACAACUUCGGAUGACGCAAUCUUUUGUCAUCAAAUAGGCUUUUGAGUCUUGACUCUUGACACCCCCUUCAAAAUUCCGAACUGCUUAAAUAAUCGAAGUAAUUUAUGAAUAAUGAUAAAUAUUUUAAAAAUUUUAUCCCAAAGAAAUUCAAGUAAAUAUUUAAAUAUUAUUAUUCCUUGAAAAAAAAUUUAACACUAUCUUAUUUCAUAAUUUGUAUUAUUCUUUAAAUUUUAAUUAAAGAUAUGUUCUUUAUUGAUGCGAGAUUCUGGUUACCCUCUCGACCACGAUUAGGAUCUCUGCUCAAUCAACUCGACCACGAUCAGGAUCUCUCCUCGUAUGACUUCUUUUUAAAAAAUUCAUGCGUACACAGAAAUAAGUCAGAGCACGCCGGUUGUUUUCAAAUUGCACAUGACAUAUGAAAAGAUAAUCAAUUCACAGGGGUGGAGUAAUCUGAGACUUACCCAAUUAUGUAUAUUGAAUAGACGUACGGUGGAAAUUUAUAUAACUUUUUGCAUUUUAUUUCUUAUGUUUUACAUAUACAUGAGGAACUUAAUUAUAACCCAGAUUGCUUACAUGAUUAACACAUAAUUAUUUGUAAUCUACGCAUAUUAUGCCCAAAAAAUUUCAAUUUUAAUUUUGAUGAGUAAGUAAUACACAGAAACUUGUCUGCAAAAGGUAUAUAUCAAAUAGAAAUAGACCACUCCAUUGAAAUUAGCUUUUGAAUUAUCUUGAAAAUUGAAAGGCCAUUCAUAGAUUUAGUGCUCUUUUACUUUUGCUGUAUUCAGAAUUUGUCAGCUUCUCUCAUAAAUUAUCCACAAGAUUAAUUAACACUCCUGAAAGUGUUUUCCUGAAAAUGAUCUUAACUGAAUGAAUAUGGCAAUAUGAAAAGAUGCAAUUGAAUUUCCAGUUAACAAAAAGCAUAGUAGGAUUCACUUAAUAGCCUACAAUGGUAAGAAUUAAUGGCCACAGUGAUUGAUUUCUUCGAAAGCAUAUGACAGACAUACUUCCAAAUCUUGACUGCAAAUCACAAUAGCCUAACAAGUCUAUUGCAAAUCAUGAACAAAUCCACUUUAACAAAAGGGUGUUUGAAACCUGAUCUUCCAAACAGAGAAAUAAUAAUGUCGAGCAAAGGUGCCCACCUACAAUUGUCUUAUUGUAGAAUGCACAAUGAUCCAUUUUGCUGAUUCUGGAUUUGUUUCUUUCAAUCUCUUAUUAUUCAACAUUUAAUGAUAUUCAGCUCACUAUUUUACGUAAACUUUUUUACCACAUUGUUCCACUUUUUGUUACUUUUGUGGUUUGUCGUGUCGUGUAAUUACUAUUAACUAGUCAAAGGGCCUGCCAUAGCUAGAUGCAUGCGUUGAAAUUCUGGCUGCGCAUAUGUGCUGUGAAAGCUACACGAGAUUUGUUGGGUUGCGCGCCACUGCCAUGUGAACUAAAUCACAAUGGAAAACUAGUGUGAAAAACGAUUGCCUCUGCUCUCUGUUUAAACGAAUUUACUAUAGUUAAUCAUAUGUUGUUGUCUUGUUGAUUCUAAUGUGGGUCUUUAUUUAUUAUUUAAGUUUUUGAAUCAGUCCUCUUGGCGCAGCUCAUUUGGCAGUAAAUAUGCUUUUUGUCCAUGAUAACAUUGAGUUUAAGUAAUAAUAGAGAGGUUAGUAGUUGGUGUUUAGUGGGUGCUAUUUAUUUUUUCAUCUGGUCGGUUAAACUAUUAUAUAAGUCUUUUUUUUUUAAUUUCAUGAAAAUUUUUAGUUACUAAUCAUUAAGUUAUUAAGUCAAUUUCUUUUAUCUUUUUGUUUAAUUUAAAAAUCUAAAUGAUUAAAUAUUUGAGAAUGCAGCUGCGUUAUAUAUUUGUUAGUAGAAUAAGUAUAUCAAUAAGUUAAGUUAUUAAGUCAUUUUUUUAACUGUUCUAGCUUAACCAAGGUUUUCAGAUCGAGACUUGGGAAUACAACUGCUUUAAAUACUUAUUGGGAGAGCUUUGUCGCCUUAGUAGUCAUACUCAGCUCAAAUCUGGAUUAGUCGGGGCCUAAUACAGUCUUCAUAUACUAGAUAGUUUAAUAUACCAAAAAAAAAUCUAAAUGAUAUCAUUAAAACAUAUUCUCUAAAAUAUUUCUAUAUAAUUAAUUAAUUUUCAUACUUACCUAAAUAAAAUCUAUUAAUUAGUAUUAUUACCCAUCUUCUUGUGAUAAUAUAAAGGUAGGAUAUUAUUAUUUUUAUCUUUUAUUUUCUUCAAAUUAGCACUAUUUAUCUUUAUAAUUUUUUCUGAAUAUUUUUCCAAGAAAAUAUCAUAAAUUACAAUAAAAUUGAUUAGCAUAUACUAAUGCAUAAUGUUGAGUGUUAGAAAAUACAUAUUUAUAAAGGAGAAAACCGUCAUUUUACAUUUCAAGUCUUACUAACAACCCUUACUUUUAUGUACUUAACCUUCUUGUGAUGUAAUUACGUGUGUGUUAUUUUAAUUAAGUAUUUUAUGUAUUUUAGGGGCAUUAUAGUCAUUUCACAAUAAAGGAGAGAUCAGACGGCAAAACGGACAUCACUUUUGAACUCAGGAUGGUCGAAAACCUUAGGAGGAGCAUAAAAGGAAAAAUGGCACUAUUCACAUGUACGGUACUAUUCACGUAUACGGUACUGUCUACGUUACUGUUCACGACACUGUUCACAUAGACGGAUCGAUGACGUGGCAUUGACCGAUGAUGUGGCAUUGACUGAUGAGGUGUCACGAUCCUGUUGGGCUAAAAUUCUUAUGUACUGUUGAUGGUGACGUGGCAGCAUAUCAGUGGACGAAAAAUCUCACGUACGGUGCAUGCAUCACACAGGAUUAUUUUCAACCAAACCGCGUUACUGUUCAUCCGGGUCAAACCGUGUUACUGUUCAUCCGCGUGGUCAAACCGUGGACUGUUGACUGAUGACGUGGCGCAAUCCUGAGCGUCCAAACUGUUUUUAAUCCGAUGGCCAUGAUUUACUCCAUGUAUCUAUAAAAAGGGGGCCUCCCCCCCCUAAUUUGAUAUCUCUGAAUCCAUUUUUGGGAUCCAUUUUCUGUAAUUCCUACUCCAUCUUGUAUUUUCUUUGUAUUUUAAUAAAUUCCCAUUUUGCCCCUAGUUCAAUUAUGAGUGGCUAAUUUUCUUUCAAGCUUGGGUUGAAGGUGAAGUCUCAACAUGUGUCAUGGGCUUUAUUUGGUAAAUUUAUUUUCUUUUCCCCUCUAGUUUUUGUGGAUGAUUUGACUUAUCGUCGACAAAUAAUACUGAUCUUGUCUAGAUACCGCCUUGGUUACACCGGCUCUCUAGUAUAAGGUUAUUAUUAUUUGGCACGAUAAGCCCUUAGCACCAUAUUGAUUAGAGCGUGGUUCAUGAGGUGUGGAUUCCCCCCUCAUGAUUUAAUUGGCAUUAAUACGGAUUAUUUAGCCCAUGAUGCAUGUUGAUACGGAUCCAGAUACCCAAGUACGUCAAUUUAAUAGAUUUUCUCUUCAAUUUAUUCUCUCCAUUGCAAUUCCAAUUUUAGAAUUUAUUCUCGCCAUUUUAAUUUAAGUAUUAGCAUAUUCCAAAUCAUUUCCACCAUAAAUCCAACUACCCAUUUACAAAAUUAAUUCUAUAUAUAAUUAAAAUCCACCUCCUCGUGGGAUCGACACUCGUCACCAUUAGUCUAUACUACAAUAGAUUCGUGCGCUUGCGAGUACAUUAAAAUUUGCACAACAAGUUUUUGGCGCCGUUGCCGGGGAGGUAAGUAAUUUUAAUUCAUAGAAUUAAUUUUUGUGGAUAAUUUCUUUUAUUUGUUUUCUUGUAUUUUUUUUUAUUAAAAAAAAGAAAGAAAAAAAAGUAAAUCUACAUUUAGAGGUUAGUAUUUCUUUUCUUUUUCUCUUCUUUAAAAUUCUGUAAUUUAAUUUUCAAUUUAUUUUUUCUUUGUAAUUUUUGUUUAUUUUAUUAAUUUAAUUUUUAGUUAAUUUAUUUCACGUAUUUGUUUUUGUGUAUUUUUAUAGAAAGGUUGUAAUAGCGCAAUAAGGUUAGUAUCGUAAUUUCUCCCUCUUCUUUAUUUUUAUUUGUUUUGUUCCCAUCUUUAUUUUUUGUUUUGUUUGCAUCUUUAUUUUUAUUUUUAUUUUAUUUUGCAUGCAUGGUCGUAGGUCAUUAUUACCUAAUCUUGAACCUAUAGACCUUGAAUUAGAAAAAACACUUCGCACACACAAACACGUUAAAAAUAAAAUGGAUUUGCAACCACAGGAGAGGCCAUUUAAGGACUAUUUUAGUCCCUUAGCUAAUUUGAGCACGUCAUGCAUAAGAUACCCAAAUGUAGCUGCUAGGAGUUUUGAAUUAAAACCUAGUGUGUUAAAUUGUCUCCCCACAUUUUAUGGCCUAGAAAAUGAGGAUCCAUAUAAUCAUUUGAAUGAUUUUCAUGCCAUUUGUCAAACAUUCAAAUAUGAGAAUUUUUCAGACGAUGAUGUUAAACUCAGACUAUUCCCAUUUUCUUUAAAGGAUAGAGCUCGUUCAUGGUUAAAUACGUUGCCUGCUAACAGCAUUUCAUCAUGGGAACAAAUGGUAACUAAAUUUUUGAAUAAAUAUUUCCCAGUGCAUAAAACCAAUUCUAUUCGCAGGGAAAUUUCAGAGUUUACACAAAGAGAGGACGAGCAGUUUUUCGAAACUUGGGAGCGAUUCAAUGGGCUACUCUUGAAGUGUCCACAUCAUGGGUACGAGAAAUGGCACCAAUGCCAAUACUUUUUGGAGGGAUUAUUGCCGAAUGUGCAAGAAUGGCUAAUGGCAACAAGUGGAGGAGAGCUAAUGUCAAAAAGUGCAUCAGAGAUUUGGGAAUUCUUCCAGCGACAAGCGGAUAAUUCCCAACAACGGAGUCGAUCACUCAGGAAUACUAGAAGAAUUAAGGGAGUAAAUGAGGUUCAAAUUGGCGAGUCAACUUCGGGAAUCAAAGAAGUCAAGGAGAUGGUUGAAGGUCUCGCUCGACAAAUAGCAUCGUUAUCGACUGUUAAAUCAACAGAACCACAUGACCAUGACUCAUACUCUGAUCAAGCCAAUGCCAUAGGUGUAAUGAGAAAACCAUCGAAUUACAACCCAUACUCCAACACAUAUAACCCUGGAUGGAGAGACCACCCCAAUUUUUCAUGGUCUCAAGGAUUCCAACAGAAUGGACCAGCAGCUCCAGCUCCAGCUCCACAAAUUCCUCAAGUUCCUCAAGCCUCUCAGCCCCCAUUUAGACCAUUCAAUCAGAACCAGAACUACUCUCAACCCAGAUCAUGGGAGGAUUCAUUCCAGAAUUUCAAGAAUGCUACUCACUCUACGAUUGAGCAACAGAACCGCACCAUUGAUGGACUACGAAAUGAGUUGAGAGCGGGCUUCAAUUCACAAGCCCAAUCAGUUUCAAGCCUCGAGAAGAUGGUGGGACAACUUGCUUCUUCAGUUCAGACCUUGGCAAUGACUGUUGAGAAAGGCAAGUUUCCAAGUCAACCAGUGCCUAAUCCUAAAGGAGUGCAUGAAGCAAGUACCAGUUCACCACAGCAGCAUGGAGAGGUCAAAGCAGUCAUGACCUUGCGAAAAGGAAAGGAAGUCGACAAUAAAGUGGAGAUGCCGGUGACAAAAGAAAAUCAAAUUGUACCUGUAAAUGCUGAGGACUCACCACCGGAGGAAAAAGAAGAAACCAACCCACGAGAAUACGUUCCCAAAGCUCCAUUUCCUCAGAGGUUAGUGAAAGGAAAGAAGGGAAAAUCCACAGGUGAGAUUCUCGAAAUCUUCAAACAGGUAAGUGUCAAUAUCCCUUUGCUUGAUGCUAUAAAACAAGUUCCAUCUUAUGCCAAGUUUCUUAAAGACCUUUGUACUAAAAAGAGAAAUAUGCAUGUUCAAAAGAAGGCAUUUUUAACAGAAAACGUUAGUUCUAUACUCCAACAUAAAAUUCCUUUAAAAUGCAAAGACCCAGGCUCCCCCACUAUCUCAUGUAGUAUAGGGAACCACACAAUUGAGAAUGCUUUGUUGGAUUUAGGAGCUAGUGUAAAUUUGUUGCCUUACUCUGUAUUCGUGAAACUUGGACUGGGAGAAUUACACCCAACUCCAGUGGUGUUACAGCUUGCAGAUCGGUCCACGAAAAUACCUCGUGGUAUUGUGGAGGACGUGCUUAUCCAGGUAGACAAGUUUUAUUUUCCUGUUGAUUUCAUUGUAAUUGACACUCAACCAAUACAGGAUUCAAAGAAGCACAUCCCCAUUAUUCUAGGCCGACCUUUCUUGGCGACUGCGGAUGCUCACAUUCAAUGCAGGACUGGAAAUAUGCAGUUGUCCUUCGGCAACAUGACUAUGGAGCUAAAUAUUUUCAACAUUGCCAAACAACCUCACAGUGCAGAUGAUGGAAUUGUUGAUGUGGAUUUAAUAGAAACAAUAGUUGAUAAUACUUUUAUUUCAAACCUUAGUGAUGAUCCUUUACAAACAUGUUUAACUCACUUUGGUUUGGAUUUUGAUAUUGACAGAUCGGUCGAAGAGGUCAACGCCCUACUUGACUCAGCACCAUCCAUGGACACUAAUAAAUGGAAGUCAAGAGUUGAACAACUAGCACCAUCAGAGAAGAAACUCAUUCCAUCAUCAGAAUCACCACCGAAACUCGAGCUCAAACCAUUACCCAACACUCUAGAAUAUGCAUUUUUGGGAGAAGAAAGUACUCUGCCGGUAAUCAUCUCAUCAUCCCUAAAUGACGAACAAAAAGGUAAGUUGUUGGAUGUUUUAAAAGAGCACAAAGGGGCAUUAGGAUGGACCAUAGCAGACAUAAAAGGUAUAAACCCAGUAGACUGCAUGCAUUACAUUCACCUUGAUGAAAAUGCUAAAUCUACUAGGGAAAUGCAACGUCGGUUAAAUCCUAAUAUGAAAGAAGUUGUUAGAACAGAAGUCCUUAAGCUAUUAGACGCAGGUAUCAUUUACCCAAUUUCUGAUAGUUCAUGGGUCAGUCCUGUACAAGUUGUCCCCAAAAAGUCAGGAGUCACAGUAGUUACCAAUGCUGAUAAUGAAUUGAUACCAACUAGAGUAACUACAGGAUGGCGUGUAUGCAUUGAUUAUAGAAAGUUGAAUUCUGUCACACGUAAAGACCAUUUUCCUUUACCAUUUAUCGAUCAAAUGCUUGAUAGAUUAGCAGGCCACGAAUUUUAUUGCUUUCUAGAUGGCUACUCAGGAUAUAAUCAGAUUCCCAUAGCACCAAAAGAUCAAGAGAAAACUACUUUCACUUGCCCUUUUGGCACAUUUGCAUAUAGGAGAAUGCCAUUUGGAUUAUGUAAUGCACCUGCUACAUUUCAACGAUGCAUGUUAAGCAUUUUUUCUGAUAUGGUUGAACGAUUCCUUGAAGUCUUUAUGGAUGACUUUUCUGUCUUUGGUGACUCGUUUGAUCAAUGUUUACAUCAUCUAACGCUAGUUCUGCAGAGAUGUACCGAGAAGAACUUAGUCUUGAAUUGGGAGAAGUGCAAUUUUAUGGUAAAACAAGGUAUUGUUCUCGGUCACAUCAUUUCGAGCAAAGGUAUUGAGGUUGACAAAGCCAAGGUGGAUCUCAUUUCUAAUCUUCCUCCACCUAAAACAGUCAGAGAAGUAAGAUCUUUCCUUGGGCAUGCUGGUUUCUAUAGACGUUUCAUUAAAGAUUUUAGCAAAGUUUCUAGACCCUUAUGCAAUUUACUUGCUAAGGAUGUACCUUUUAUCUUUAAUGAUUCAUGUCUUAUGGCUUUUGAAAAAUUAAAGCAGUUGUUGACAUCAUCACCCAUCAUUCAGGCCCCAAACUGGAGCUUACCAUUUGAACUCAUGUGUGAUGCAUCUGAUUAUGCAGUAGGAGCAGUAUUAGGACAAAGAGUUGAUCGAAUUCCCCACGUUAUUUACUAUGCUAGUAUGACAUUGAAUGAUGCACAGUUGAAUUAUUCAACUACUGAAAAAGAAAUGCUAGCAGUAGUGUUUGCAUUAGAGAAAUUUCGAUCUUAUCUCAUUGGUUGUAAAAUAAUUAUAUUCACAGACCAUGCUGCUCUUAAAUAUCUUCUCACAAAGAAAGAUGCAAAAGCUAGACUAAUUCGUUGGGUGUUACUUUUGCAGGAAUUUGACUUGGAAUUCAAAGAUAAGAAAGGCACAGAGAAUGUUGUAGCUGACCAUCUCUCUCGCCUCCAUUUUGAUACAAUUAUGGAACCAUUACCAUUGAAUGAGUCAUUUCCAGAUGAACAAUUAAUGAAUGUGGAAGUAUUACCUUGGUAUGCUGAUAUAGUUAAUUAUCUUGUUACAGGUAAACUUCCAGAGCAUUGGACCAAGCAAGACAAGGCUAAAUUCUUUGCGGAAAUAAAGAAUUUCUUUUGGGAUGACCCGUAUUUGUUCAAGUAUUGUGCAGACCAAAUUGUUAGACGAUGUGUCCCUGAAAAUGAAAUUCAGAAUAUUCUUUCAUUCUGCCAUGCACAAGCGUGUGGAGGCCAUUUUAGUGCUAAGAAAACAGCUACAAAAGUUUUACAAUGUGGUUUCUAUUGGCCAACUAUAUUUCGAGAUGCUUACACUUUCUGUUCUUCAUGUGAUAGGUGUCAACGAAUGGGGAGCAUUACACGAAGAAACAUGAUGCCACUAAAUCCAAUUUUAGUGGUUGAGAUUUUUGACGUAUGGGGUAUCGACUUCAUGGGACCCUUUCCCCCUUCUUUUGGCCAUCAAUACAUAUUGGUUGCUGUUGACUACGUCUCGAAAUGGGUAGAAGCAAUUCCAUGUAGGACCAAUGAUCACAAAGUGGUGAUAGGAUUUUUGAAAAGCAACAUUGUUUCACGCUUUGGAUUCCCUCGAGCGAUAAUCAGUGAUGGUGGUGCCCACUUUUGUAACAAAGCAUUCAAAGCUCUUUUGACAAAGUAUUCAAUCACACACAAAGUGGCGACCCCGUAUCAUCCGCAAACCAGUGGCCAAGUUGAGAUCUCCAAUCGAGAAAUCAAGCACAUAUUAGAAAAAACGGUGAGGCCAGACAGGAAAGAUUGGUCAUUACGACUUGAUGAUGCAUUAUGGGCAUAUAGAACGGCUUUCAAGACCCCGAUUGGGAUGUCACCCUACAGGCUAGUGUAUGGAAAAGCUUGCCACCUACCUGUGGAACUCGAGCAUCGUGCAUAUUGGGCCAUCAAGAAAUUCAACUUUGACAUGCAGCAAGCCAGCUCAGAGAGAAGAUUACAACUGGCAGAACUUGAAGAAAUUCGCAAUGAUGCAUACGAAAAUGCCAAAAUUUACAAGCAGCGGAUGAAAGUCUUCCACGACAAGCACGUUAUGAGAAAAUCUUUCACUCCAGGUCAGAAAGUACUUUUAUUCAAUUCUCGCUUGCACCUAUUCCCAGGUAAGUUACGCUCUCGAUGGUCUGGUCCCUUUAUUGUUCAUACUGUUUUUCCACAUGGGGCAAUUGAAAUUAAAGACCCAAAGAACGGUGUCACGUUUAAAGUUAAUGGUCAAAGAUUAAAGCCAUAUCUAGAGUACCAACCACAUGAAGAAGACACCGAAAUAAAUUUGAGUGACCCACCAGAUUUGAAUUAAUUUUUUUUUCUCUUUUUAUUGAUUUGAUUUUUCUUUCUUUCUUUUUAUUAUUCUUUUGCUAAUUGAAAUUAUUUUUGCAUAAGUAUGUUUGUUUAACAAUUAAGUUUUCUCUUAUCAUUUUUAAUCAUGAGUCUCAUACUUAGACCGUUCCUCCUGAACAUUCUUAAAUCACUUCAACGUGUCAAAACUCAUCUCAAAAGGCAGAUUCUAUUUUGUAAAACACAACGCAUUUGGGCUCUACAACCACCAGAGUUAGUAGCCUAUGUUGAGGGUUUAGAACGCCAACUCAGAGACAUUGAGAGAAGUGUUUACGACAUCCAGUUGGAGCUUGAGGUAAAUUCAAUAAGAGGACGAUUUUAAUUUUCUUUGUGUGUUUUAAUUUGUUUUUCUGUUUGUGUGCUUUAGUUUGUUACCCCGGUGAAGUGGCGGAUAACGGUACUCCGUGACAAUCAAGUCGGUUAACUUCAGUUUCCCAUAAUAACUGAUAUUCUGAGGCGAAGGUAUGGAUAGAAACGAGAUUUUAGCAAAGCUUCACAAGCGAUUCCCUUCACUUCCUCAGAAUGCCCUCCUUACAAUCUAUAAAGCCCGGUCUGAACGCAUGCGAUUGCUCAUGAGGAAUAACAUACCUGCAGACAUCCGUUGGUUAAUCGAGGCUAAAGUACGAUUGGCAGGUGAGUUACCUCCUAAAUUUAUUGCAUACAUGCCUGGUUGUGGUAAAGGAAAUUACGCAAGAAAACGACGAGCUCGAAGAAUUUCUGUUGCUUGUCACAAGUGUGCCAGAAUGAGUUGCGAUAGAAACCCAUGUUCUUUAGGAAUGGUGUCUGAUAACAGGGAAGAUAAGAUUCAAUUCAUUAGGGAUGGCUUGAAUAAGGAGUCAUUGGAUGAUAUCCUUCUGUCUCUUGAAACGCAUCCCAGUGGAUAUGUGCAAGGAGCGAUUCUCCGGUUAUGGCCAUUAUUCCAGAAAGAGCAUGCACGAUAUAGUCUCGGGAAUCUGACUAUAAACGACCCUGUUUGUCAGUUUAUAAGAAAACUGGAUGGGAAGCCGAUCCUCGACCCAUAGAGGGCGUUCAAGCCGUUUCUGGACGUAAAACCAGAGGAAGAUGUGAGCCACAGUCGCAACUACCUGUAAAUAUCCUUUUACUUUAUUGUUAUUUUAUUUCACUAUUGUCUUAUUUUUGCAUUAUUGUCUUUAAUAAUUUUAUUACUGUUUGCUUUUUCCUUUUUUACUGUUUUCUUUUUGACUUGCGAGCCACGUGCUUUACGCGUUAUUUGACACUGACACAUUACCUCAUACACAACCAUGACCCACUAUCACCAAGACUCUUAAAUGUGAUAUCUUUUGUCAAGCACUCACAAAUUAUUUUUUUUGAGAAGUAUCACAAUGACAGCUACUCCAAAUAGACAAUUCAAGAACAUUUGUGUGCUUUCUGGAUUUACCUAUGGCAAACAUAAAGAGUUCGUGGAGGCAGCCAUAGAUCUUGGUCGAAGCAUAGCAGCGAGAAAAUUACACUUGGUGUAUGGAGGAGGUAACCGAGGGUUAUCAAAAAUGGUCUCAGAAGCAGCUUUUAUCAGAGGAAGUCAAGUGUUAGGCAUCAUCCCAAGAGUCCUAAAACCAUUGGGCAGUUCGUCUGACUCAUCAACUGGAGAAGAGUUAGUCGUCUCAGGUAUGCAAGAAAGAAUAACUGAAAUGCUUAAUCAUGCUGAUGCUUUUAUUUUCCUUCCAGGAGAUCUUGCAACACUAGAGGCACUUAUGACACUAGCAUCUUGGGCCCAUCUGCACAUCCACCAGAAACCCAUCGGUUUGUUAAAUGUCAAUAACUUUUAUGAUGGCUUUAUCGCAUUUCUUAACCAUGCAAUAAAAAACUAUUUCAUUCCUUCUAAUGUGAAAAAACUCUUUCUUUGUGCUCACACUGCUAAUGAGCUACUUGAUAUGUUACAAGCUUAUAAACCGGAGCCAGACCCCUGGACCUUUGUGUUGGAGCGACCAAAUAAUGAUGGUAACAGUAGCCGCAGUAAGAAGUACAAAUUAGAUUUAACUCUCCGCCUGUAAAUAUUUUCUUCUGUGUUGCACCACCCAGGUGAUGUCUUCUAAACUCUACUUCUUUCCUUUAAAACAUUGAGGACAAUGUUUCGUUCUGGUUGGGGGGAGGGAAUAGUCGACAAUUGUGGAAUCUUGGUUAAGUUUUUACUGAUUUUUUGUUGUAGAAACUAACUGUUGCUAACAUUUUAUGUUGAAGAUGGCUGAAUAUGGAGUGUAGUUACUCUAGAAACGCAUCUUCAUCGUUUAAAAAAAAAAAAAAAAAAAACAUGUUUUCUUCCUCUUUCUCCUUUAUAAAUAUGUAGUUUCAAAUUUUUGAGUCGAAGAUGGCUGAAUAUGGAGUGUAGUGCCUCUAGAAACGCAUCUUCUUAGUUUAAAAAAAAAAAAAAAAAAAAAAUUCUUUUUCUAAUUAAUUUUUCUACAUCAUUUUCACAUUUCUGCAUACAUAUUUUCCUUUCAUGUUUAGAAUAGGUUGGGGGGUAGAAUGUUGUUUAAAAUAUAUAUAUAUAUAUAUUUGUGUGAUUUGUUUUAACAUUGGAUGACAUGAUUAAUUUCAAAUUUUAGUAUUUGUAUUAUCUUUGGUCUUAAGUGAUGUUACGCUAUGUUUGCUACUUUACAUGUUGAUGUCGGAGACAAAUAUGAGUUGCUUGAAGGAAUGAACAUGUCAUAAAUAAGUGCCAAGUGAGUUGUUGAGCCUAUCAUUUUCUUGGAGAGUAACCCUUUUGCCCAUUCUCUAUACAGCUUAGCAGUUUAUUAUUUUAUACACGAUCUCUAGAUUUCUUUUAAGUUAACCCUUUAAAAAAAAAAAAUAUGGUAAAAUUAAAAAAAAAGAAAAAAAAAUGUGUGUUGCUACAUUGGGAGGCCCAUCUAACUAGUAGAUAUGGAUAAUUAUUUAGAGCCCUAAAAGACGAUGGAAAGGCCAUCUUUGAUCCGUUUGAGCCUUUCUAGCCAUCCCUUUUAUUAAAUAUCCAUAGUUACCCCUUUUGAGCCUUUAAAAAAAAAAAAAAAAAAAACAAAAACAUUUUCUUUGUCAACUUAUCAUCUUGACCCACUCCGAUUUGGAGUAUUACCCAAUGUCUUUUAAGUUCCAUCACCUAUUUAUGUUUGAGAAAAUGUAAAUAAUUAUGUUGUUCAGUGAAGUUAUGCCAAAUAAAAGCAAAAAAAAAAAAAAACAAAAACAAAAGUUGUUGUUUCAAAAGAAUAAAAAUAACAAUAAUAGGUGAAAUCCACCUUGCAAGUUCCAAAAAAAAAAAAAAAAAAAAUUCUUCAUUUUUCUCAAACAUACACUUUGUUUUCCUUAUUUCCUUUCUUUGUUAGCCAUAUCCCUAGCCUACGUUACGUCCUAAUAAAAGUCCUUCUUGAUUUUCGGGAACUAUAGUUUGAAGUAGAAGCUAGUUAUAUGGGCUAAAAAGAUGUAGUGAUGCAUAAUAAUAAAAAAAAAAAAAAAAAAAAGAUAAAUAAAGUGGGUUGACUAACAUUUUAUUUGACUUGAGAUCGUAUUAUUUCUAAGCUGAGGGCAUAUUUAUUUCAUCUUGGUGAGAGCAUGUGAUAUCAUUUCUUUAUUAUUUUCUCUCUCAAUUACCAUUCAUUGGAGUGACUAUGUUUAUUGGGUUUUAAUUUCUUUGUGAGAGUGUCACUACUUCCAGUGAGAUUUUGGGGUUUGACAUGUCAUUCUUGAAAGUAGCUAUAACAAAGUCUACUGGGCUAAUUCAUGUGGAUGGUUGAUGUGGGUGUGAUGUUGCUUUAGACUGGAGAUAAUGCUUAUACUUUUAUUUGAUUGCUAUCAUUAAUCUGAUUGAAUAAACACGAGUGUUUCUAAAAAAAAAAAAAAAAAAAAAAAAUCAUUUUGAAUUUGAAUUUUGUUUUCGCUUUAUUUGCUAGGGACUAGCAAUAAGCUGGUUGGGGGGUGUGUUGAGUGUUAGAAAAUACAUAUUUAUAAAGGAGAAAACCGUCAUUUUACAUUUCAAGUCUUACUAACAACCCUUACUUUUAUGUACUUAACCUUCUUGUGAUGUAAUUACGUGUGUGUUAUUUUAAUUAAGUAUUUUAUGUAUUUUAGGGGCAUUAUAGUCAUUUCACAAUAAAGGAGAGAUCAGACGGCAAAACGGACAUCACUUUUGAACUCAGGAUGGUCGAAAACCUUAGGAGGAGCAUAAAAGGAAAAAUGGCACUAUUCACAUGUACGGUACUAUUCACGUAUACGGUACUGUCUACGUUACUGUUCACGACACUGUUCACAUAGACGGAUCGAUGACGUGGCAUUGACCGAUGAUGUGGCAUUGACUGAUGAGGUGUCACGAUCCUGUUGGGCUAAAAUUCUUAUGUACUGUUGAUGGUGACGUGGCAGCAUAUCAGUGGACGAAAAAUCUCACGUACGGUGCAUGCAUCACACAGGAUUAUUUUCAACCAAACCGCGUUACUGUUCAUCCGGGUCAAACCGUGUUACUGUUCAUCCGCGUGGUCAAACCGUGGACUGUUGACUGAUGACGUGGCGCAAUCCUGAGCGUCCAAACUGUUUUUAAUCCGAUGGCCAUGAUUUACUCCAUGUAUCUAUAAAAAGGGGGCCUCCCCCCCCUAAUUUGAUAUCUCUGAAUCCAUUUUUGGGAUCCAUUUUCUGUAAUUCCUACUCCAUCUUGUAUUUUCUUUGUAUUUUAAUAAAUUCCCAUUUUGCCCCUAGUUCAAUUAUGAGUGGCUAAUUUUCUUUCAAGCUUGGGUUGAAGGUGAAGUCUCAACAUGUGUCAUGGGCUUUAUUUGGUAAAUUUAUUUUCUUUUCCCCUCUAGUUUUUGUGGAUGAUUUGACUUAUCGUCGACAAAUAAUACUGAUCUUGUCUAGAUACCGCCUUGGUUACACCGGCUCUCUAGUAUAAGGUUAUUAUUAUUUGGCACGAUAAGCCCUUAGCACCAUAUUGAUUAGAGCGUGGUUCAUGAGGUGUGGAUUCCCCCCUCAUGAUUUAAUUGGCAUUAAUACGGAUUAUUUAGCCCAUGAUGCAUGUUGAUACGGAUCCAGAUACCCAAGUACGUCAAUUUAAUAGAUUUUCUCUUCAAUUUAUUCUCUCCAUUGCAAUUCCAAUUUUAGAAUUUAUUCUCGCCAUUUUAAUUUAAGUAUUAGCAUAUUCCAAAUCAUUUCCACCAUAAAUCCAACUACCCAUUUACAAAAUUAAUUCUAUAUAUAAUUAAAAUCCACCUCCUCGUGGGAUCGACACUCGUCACCAUUAGUCUAUACUACAAUAGAUUCGUGCGCUUGCGAGUACAUUAAAAUUUGCACAACACAUAAUAUUAAAGGAUGAUAUUCAAUUGAACAUGAUUUAUGUUAUGAUAAUAAAUUAUCCUAUUUAUAUUCUUUGAGAUACUUAUUGUUGGUUUAACAUUUAUAAUUUGUAAGAGUACAAAUGUUUUUAUCUUUUCGUUUAAUUUAAAAAAUCUGAAUGAUAUCAUUAAACAAUAUUCUCGAAAAUAUUUUUAUCUAAUUAAUUAAUUUUCAUCUUUACCUAUGUAAAAUUUACUAAUUAGUAUUAUUACUUGUUGUCAAGAGAAAACAAGAAAGCAUGCACGUGAGUUGCGUGACAUAAGCAAGAUGCUAUGAAGAUAUGAGAAUAAGAAGCAUGAUAUAAGUAAAAUGUCACGAAGAUAUGUGAGCAAGAAAGCAUGCAUGUGAGAAGCAUAAUAUAAGCAAGAUGUCAUAACAAUAUGAGAGCAAGAAGUAUGACAUAAGUAAGAUGUUAUGAUGUAGGAAGUUAUUUUUCAUAUUUAAAGAUUCUAGAAUUUUAUUAUUUUAGGAUUUUCUAUUUUUAUUAGGGUCAAUUAAGGUAUGAGAUUUAAUUAACUUAGGAAACUAUCUUUUGUUUCCAUUAUAAUUGUGAUUUAUUUCCUCUUUUUAAGUUAACUUAGGAAAGUGAGUUUACUCUAUUAUAAAUAGAAAGGUCUUAUUAUUAUUUUCAAAACUUCAAAUUCAAUUAUUCAGUAAAACUCUCCUUUUAUAAUUUCUUCUGGAAUUAUCUAUCAAAAUCUCUCUUGUAGAAUCAUUUGGAUUAGAGCGUCAUCUAAUAUCGGGUUGCGCGUUAUUAAAAAUCUCAUUGAGUCAUUUAGAUUAGAACGAGAUCUAAUCACCCUUUGAUUAGAACGUAACCUAAUUGUGUUGGCUUGGUCCAAUACUACAAUGAUAUCUAGUAUUUUUAUCCAAUCAAUCCCGCUUUCGCUACACUCGCUCCAUCAUGUUAUGAAGAUGUGAGAGCGAGAAGCAUGCAUGUGAGCCGCCUCCUGCUCCUGAGCCUUCUGCUGUUCCCGUACAGCCAUCUGCCUCUAUGCCACCUCCAACUUCAGUUCAGCCUCCUACUUUAGAUGCCAUGCAGCAGCUGAUCACUGAUGUUCAGCGGAUCUCGGAGCGCCAGCAGCUGAUUCUUGAUCGGUUGGACACUCUUUCCCGUGACCACUAGCAACUGCGUUCUGACUUUCAGAUAUUCCAGCGGCAGAGCCUUGAUCAGCAGAUGGAGCUUAUCGCUGGACAGCGCACUAUUCUCGGCUAUUUCGGCUAUGAUCCGGGGAGCACAUCUUCUCCGCCUCCGUAGUUUCUGAGCUUUGUCUUCGCACAUACAUUUUACAUUUUGGUUGCUAGCAUUUUUAUUAUUAUUUUGAUUUUGAUGCAUAUGUGUGUGAUGUUCUUGAUGAUUAGAUUAUUGAUGCUUUGUGAUUGCCUAAUUGGUUGGAUAUUGUAAAUGUGGUUUAUUUGUGGAUAUUGGAGUGUUGGUAUGUUUGUGGUUCUUGAAGUGUUCUUUUGAUGUGUUUAUGGAGUUGUUGGCUUGUUGAAAGAAGAAGUUGAUGUUCAUAUAUCUUUGGAAGUGUUCUAUCUCAAUUUGUAUAAUUGGUUUUGAUCUUUUUUAAGGGGAAACUCUGCCAAAAUUUUCGCUCGCCAAAGCCGGGCAACUUCUUUCAUGGAUUUGCGUAUUUCUUAUUUCCUCUUUUCUUUUUGAUGAUGAAGGGAGAGAUAAUUAUGGUUUUUAAUAUAGUUUUUAAAUGGGGAGAUAUUUUUUUUAAGAUGGAUUUAAAAUGGGGCGAUUUAAAGCAAAAAUCCUUUUAUUCACAUUUCUCAAUUUGGCCAUACAUUUAGGGGGAGCACAUAUUAAGGGGGAGCUAAACUUUGAUUAGAAUUUGUCAUCAUCAAAAAGGGGGAGAUUGUUAACAUAAAUAUGUUAAUAAUAUUGAUUUUGAUGAUAACAAAUUUUAAAUGAUUUUUGAUAAAAGUAUUGGAGCUAUUUCUUAAUAAACGAGAGCCUUAGUAAUCAUUACAUUCAUGCUUAAUAAAAGAUGGACUUUAAAAUUAGAAAAAGAUUCUCUGCAAAAACUGGUUUAAAAUGCAAUUCUGGUUAUAAACGGUGAACCGUUUAUUUAAACGGUUAACCGAUAACAGCCAGAGAGCUACAUAUUUCCUAAACCUCUAACCGUUUAUGAAAAACGGAAAACACAAAAGACGGGAAGGUUACUGAAACUUAACGGUGAACCGUUUAUUUUAAACGGUUAACCGAUAACAGCCAGAGAGCAACAUAUUUCCUAAACCUCUAACCGUUUAUGAAAAAAGGAAAACACAAAAGAUGGGAAGGUUACUGGAACUUAACGGUGAACCGUUUAUUUUAAACGGUUAACCGAUUAACACCAGAGAGCGACAUAAUGUCUAAAGCUCUAACCGUUUAUGAAAAACGGAAAUCACCAAGAAUGGAAAGGCUACUGGAACUUAACGGUGAACCGUUUACUUUAAACGGUUAACCGAUAAUGUCCAGAAUUGAAGGUUGUCCUCCUCUGGCACUGAUUAACGAAAACUGAUAAGGCUAAAUUGUUUUGCAGGUUACUGGAGACAAACGGCGAACCGUUUAUAUCAAACGGUUAACCGAUAAUGUCCAGAGAAGCCACUUCACGCAAGUCCUUAACCGUUUAGCAUAAACGGAUAACAAAUACUCAUCUUGCAGGUCUCUGGAAGUUAACGGCGAAAGGGCAAACCUAAACGGAAAACCGUUUAUUUGAAAUCUGGCCCAACGGUAACUUUGACCAGCCUAAACGGUUAACCGUUUAUGGUUAACGGCGAACCGUUUUCUGUCCGACAGUUUGUAACGGCUAGAUUUUCGGCUCCAAAUAUAAAUAAGCUCAUUCAAAUUCAAAGAAGAUUGAUCACAACACGACCAUUUGAGCUAAUAUUCGAGAAUACAAUCUUCAUAGAGCUUAGAACACAUUCUUGCUUCAUCUAUUCACAUAUUAAGCAUCAUUGUGUAAUCUUAUAUAUUGUGAGAGGCAAAACAAUUUGUAAUCUUUUAUUUUGAGUGAUUGUAAGUGUUGGGAUACACUUGGGUUAAGAGAUUGGGGAUAAUCUCUUGUUGUAAAGGUUCAUUGACACCUUGGAAGUCAAGUGUAAGCAUUUGAAGCCUUGGAGGCUUGCUUAGUGGAAUCCUCAAGCCCGGAAAGCUUGGAGGCGUGAACGUAGGCAAGGUUGGCCGAACCACGUAAAAAUCUCGGUGUUUGAAUCCCUCUUCCCUUAUCUUUUUAUAUUGUGAUUCUCUUAAUUGUUAUUGCUUUGAAUUUGAUUUAUAAUUGCAUUAAGAUUUUCUUUAAUAAAUUGAAUAAUUUUUUAGAAUCCCAAUUCACCCCCCCUCUUGGGUUGCAUACUUGUAUUUCAGUUCAUGUAACCAUAUAGUCACCAAAAUAAUCUGCACUACCUAAUUUUUGAAACUUGUAUCAUCAAAACACUUUUUCCAAAAAAUCGAGAGAACCUCCCAUCGGCUAAAUGAAAAACUUAAUUUGAGUUUCAUUCUGCUGUGAAGAACAAAAAGUCCAAAGAAAAACUUUAUUUGACCUUUUUGUUAUUCAAUAAAUAAAAAUGACAAACAAUGUCUUUAACUAACAAACAUAAAAGAAGCUGUCCUGGCACCGUAUUACCCGACUCCUUAUUAAUCAAUCCAAAAUAAAAAUACAAGAGCCAUAGGGGCUAGCCAGACGCAAGGCUAGAGUUCAACACUCCAUGCCAAGCUAGUGUCCAAAUCUGCAAGCCAAUCUAUCUUCUCCCAAAUGUCCUCACCGUUAAAAAUGGACCUUUUGACGUUGUUUACACCAUUAGAUGUAUACUCAACCACAACUUGCUCUAUGCACUGCCGCCAGCAUGAGAUGGGACGGGAUUUGCAGCAUUGAGCAACCCCUCCUUCAUAUACUGCCUGCUUCUUAUAAGAAAACUCAAACUGAAACAAAAGGACAAGGCUGUUAUAAGCAAAGCAGCGUUUGUUACAAGCACGCAAAACAAAGGCAUAAACGUAAAAUGGACCAACAUAAGUACCAGCAUUACAUGUGUAUCAUAAUCACAUAAUUCUCACAGUAUAAACCAAGAACUAAUUCAGACCAAUGCAAAAUCUUCAGUACCUUAAAAGAGAACCAGUUCGAGUAAAAUGAUUUGAUUGUAACAGUCCUUAAAUGAGGUGAAAUCCAGAGCAAACCAUCGAUAGUGUUUUUAAUUGCGACUCGCACACGGGUUCCAUUUAUUACAAAGUCCAGGUUGUUGUAACCAUAGAAUGGGGAAGAUCGGAUUUGCCUCAAGUCUUCUGGAAUAUCCGCAUUCUGCACAAAAGAAUUUGAAUAAUAUAUAAGAAAUAAAAAAGUAUGUAAAAUAGUAAACAGCUCGAUAUUUAAAUGUAUACAUAUAGCAUGCAAGAAGUGACAUACCUCACCCUUGUAACUUUCCAAAUUCACUGCUUUGGAAACAUUAUGGAACAUUGCAAGGAGUCCAAUAUACUCAGAAUACCAGUCAAUGUCGCUGUUAUUCUUGUUGAAACUGAGAUGAGUUUCCAACAAAGUCAUAGCACCUAUAGAGAAGGAUACCACAUCACCUUGAUAUCUGAAAAUACUUAAAUUAGGAGCCUCAAUCUUGACUUCAAUCAACCCUGCACAUUCAAAGAUCUUCAGCAUCUUAAGACUGAGACUUGAAAUCUUAAUACUCUUCAACUUGUCACAACCAACCAAAUUCAAAUUCUCGAGGAAUGAAAAGUUAGGAAUUUGGCUACAAAGCCACUCAUCCUUCAGAGAAAGCAGGCGCAGAGUUAAAAAUUUAAUAUUCUUACAGGAGGCUACAUUGAUCUCGCAUGGUAAGCUUAAUUGAAUGCUAACUGUCUUCACAUUCAGAGUUUGGAUAGAAAGCCAUAGAACUUCCAGACAGUUACGGACCUUGAAUUCAUUGAGUUUGGUAAGACCAGAUAGAUCUAGAGUAUUAAAGCCAAGGCAGUUAACCAGACUUAGAUGUUCAAUCAAAGGACAGCCAUCAACUAGGCUCUCAAGGACUAGAUCGGCAGCAUAAACGCUUGUGAGACAUAAUUUUUUCAAAGAAGAUAACUUCACACUUCUCAGAGACUGCAGCUUACAACAACUUAAGGCUAACACUUGUAUUGAUUUUGAGCAUAAAACCUCUUGAGGCAAAUUGUAGCAGCGCUUGUUAUGAGCGUCAACUGAGGGCAUUCCUGGUCUAGUAUCAACAACACGUGCACUAGUAUGAAAUGGAAGUGCGAGUUUCAGCUCUUUGACAUCACUUUCUAAUGCAGAGAAGAUACACCGGUCUACAAAUGGUCCGGGUUCUUUUACCCGUAAUUCAUACAAGUCAAGUGUGAACUUGUCUAACCUUAUCAUCUCCCUGCGGCGGGUGCGCAGAGUUCCCUCUACAUAAUUUAAUGCCCUGCUUAACUUCUCAUCUCCAAGUUGAGCUUCAAUUUUGUUGUUGCAAGAAACCGAAGGAACUUGAUUAAAGAAAGUUUUAUCAAAUUCCAAAAUUGGGAAUGUACGCCAGGCUCGUUCCCAUGCUUGCGACAAAACAGUUGUUUGAACUACUUGUUUAAAUGAGAGGAAUGACAAAAUACAAUGCAGUAUUGGUUCCGGCAAAUUAGAUAUCCUGUCCAUGCUGCUAAGCACCUCCUCCAUAAUAACAAUAUCAUCACCAGAUUCCCUGAAUCAGUAGCAACAUCUUCCUUCUAAGUAUGCUAAUUAAAUUGAGACAACUGAGUACUAAUAAUAAUAAGAAUAUUGGCUGGAUUCUAUCAAUUUAAUUCAAUGUAAUAAAGAAAAUAAAUAAUCCUAACAAAAACUCUUUUGAAUUGAACAUGCUUAAUUUCUUUUUUGUACGAGAAGAGACACUGAAACUUUCACUUUCACCGGAAAAAGAAAAAUCAGCCUAAAACAGAACUGAAUUAUUUAUAAAAGAAAAGAAAGGAAAAGAAAAGAAAAAGAGACACGUUAACACAGAACCAAUAUGGAUGAGGAUGAUAAAAUACCUAUUCAUCCGAUCGAUCAAUCGUGACAGUCCAACAGCGACAGCGACGGCAACCGAAACAGCAGAACUGUCAAGAAAGGAUUGAUCUGCUUUAACUAUGUUUUGUAUAGGCUUAAUUUUGAGGAUUCCGAAUCCAAAACAGACAAAGUCACAACAGCAAAAUUAUGUAGGCUCAGUCUGCUCCGUGUAUAUAUAUUUUGAAAAUUCCAAAUCCAAAUCGGACACGUCCUUCUGCUUCUCCUAACGCGAAUCGGACAUGCGGCUAGUCGCUACGCAACAGUAAUUAAGCUUUUUGGAGAUAAGAGUGGUUUCGUUUCCAUCCAUUUUAUGUACUUCCAUCUGUUAGUUGAAGAACUAGUUUGUUACAAAGUACGCAAAUCUAACCCUGACAACUUCGGAUGACGCAAUCUUUUGUCAUCAAAUAGGCUUUUGAGUCUCGACUCUUGACACCCCCUUUAAAUUUCCGAACUGCUUAAAUAAUCGAGGUAAUUUAUGAAUAAUGAUAAAUAUUUUAAAAAUUUUAUCCCAAAGAAAUUCAAGUAAAUAUUUAAAUAUUAUUAUUCCUUGAAAAAAAAUUUAACACUAUCUUAUUUCAUAAUUUGUAUUAUUCUUUAAAUUUUAAUUAAAGAUAUGUUCUUUAUUGAUGCGAGAUUCUGGUUACCCUCUCGACCACGAUUAGGAUCUCUGCUCAAUCAACUCGACCACGAUCAGGAUCUCUCCUCGUAUGACUUCUUCUCCAAAAAUUCAUGCGUACAAAGAAAUAAGUCAGAGCACGCCGAUUGUUUUCUCGGCCUAAACCCUCUGACGCCCAAGUCAAAAAUGAAGGUUUUGUCUUCCUGGGAACGUUAGCUACUAAUUUUAUGGCUUAUUUUUGGUAUCGAUUACUCAAUGCUCUCUUUAUCUCAGUUUCAAUGUCAAAAAUUAUAACAAUUUUACCUUCGUUGACUACCUUUUUAUAGGCUUCUCCUGAAUUCAGACCUUCCCUCCAUUCACGCCCGUUAUCCUCCCACCUCUCGAAAGUGAAUGCUCCGUUUCUGUAAUCGUGGAUGGUUGCAUGACCUUCGUGCCUUGAUUCUCGGAUUGGAGAGCACGUCUCGCCAACUCUCGUUGACCGGGUCUCCUCGCCUCAACCCUUAGCAGGAAUGGCUUUAUACUUCUAACAGAAGACCGCCCUCGCGGAUGGCGUAUUCGUGGACGAGCGGAAUAUUCCUGCUCCUGUUCCCCUGCUACUAGACUCUUACAAGAUAUACCUGUUCGUGGAACCCUACUACCAGAUGUCUGCUAAACCCAGCUGGUCUCGUUGAAGUACAUCCCCAAAUAUUCUUGAGAAAAGUACAAAAAUUUAAAGUAAUGAAGAUAAAAAUUAUAUAUUAAGAAAAAAUAAUUUAAGAUUUUAAUAUUUUAAUAUAUUUUAUAAAUACAGCACAACCGCAACAUUCUCUCUCCCAAAAUUUUUGUUGAUAAAUAAUUUUAAAUCAACAAUCCGUAAAUAAAAACUAAAGUAAAACUAAAAUGUAAUUAAAAUCUAAACAAGUUUUGCAAUAACUCGAUUAGUUUUGAAGUCAAAAUUCCAUAUUUGAAAAUACUCUGAAUAGUUAUCGAUUAUAGUUGAUUGUCAUGGUCAAGAAAAUUCUAAGAACUCAAAGGCAAUCAAAGCCGUGGCUAGCUAUGGAUACCAAACCCAUGGCUGCUUAAAAAUCGAUAAUUAACAAAAAAUUGUUAAAAAAGAGACAUUUUUAUUCUUUAGUAAGUCAACUACGGUCAAUUGUUAAAGUUAGUUAUUUUUAAAGUAAUUUGAAUUUUCAAAUAUAAAGAUAAUCAAUUCACAGGGGUGGGGUAAUCUGAGACUUACCCAAUUAUGUAUAUUGAAUAGAUCGUAUGGUCGAAAUUUAUAUAACUUUUUACAUUUUAUUUCUUAUGUUUUACAUAUACAUGAGGAACUUAAUUAUAACCCAGAUUGCUUACAUGAUUAACACAUAAUUAUUUGUAAUCUACGCAUAUUAUGCCCAAAAAAUUUCAAUUUUAAUUUUGAUGAGUAAGUAAUACACAGAAACUUGUCUGCAAAAGGUAUAUAUCAAAUAGAAAUAGACCACUCCAUUGAAAUUAGCUUUUGAAUUAUCUUGAAAAUUGAAAGGCCAUUCAUAGAUUUAGUGCUCUUUUACUUUUGCUGUAUUCAGAAUUUGUCAGCUUCUCUCAUAAAUUAUCCACAAGAUUAAUUAACACUCCUGAAAGUGUUUUCCUGAAAAUGAUCUUAACUGAAUGAAUAUGGCAAUAUGAAAAGAUGCAAUUGAAUUUCCAGUUAACAAAAAGCAUAGUAGGAUUCACUUAAUAGCCUACAAUGGUAAGAAUUAAUGGCCACAGUGAUUGAUUUCUUCGAAAGCAUAUGACAGACAUACUUCCAAAUCUUGACUGCAAAUCACAAUAGCCUAACAAGUCUAUUGCAAAUCAUGAACAAAUCCACUUUAACAAAAGGGUGUUUGAAACCUGAUCUUCCAAACAGAGAAAUAAUAAUGUCGAGCAAAGGUGCCCACCUACAAUUGUCUUAUUGUAGAAUGCACAAUGAUCCAUUUUGCUGAUUCUGGAUUUGUUUCUUUCAAUCUCUUAUUAUUCAACAUUUAAUGAUAUUCAGCUCACUAUUUUACGUAAACUUUUUUACCACAUUGUUCCACUUUUUGUUACUUUUGUGGUUUGUCGUGUCGUGUAAUUACUAUUAACUAGUCAAAGGGCCUGCCAUAGCUAGAUGCAUGCGUUGAAAUUCUGGCUGCGCAUAUGUGCUGUGAAAGCUACACGAGAUUUGUUGGGUUGCGCGCCACUGCCAUGUGAACUAAAUCACAAUGGAAAACUUGUGUGAAAAACGAUUGCCUCUGCUCUCUGUUUAAACGAAUUUACUAUAGUUAAUCAUAUGUUGUUGUCUUGUUGAUUCUAAUGUGGGUCUUUAUUUAUUAUUUAAGUUUUUGAAUCAGUCCUCUUGGCGCAGCUCAUUUGGCAGUAAAUAUGCUUUUUGUCCAUGAUAACAUUGAGUUUAAGUAAUAAUAGAGAGGUUAGUAGUUGGUGUUUAGUGGGUGCUAUUUAUUUUUUCAUCUGGUCGGUUAAACUAUUAUAUAAGUCUUUUUUUUUUAAUUUCAUGAAAAUUUUUAGUUACUAAUCAUUAAGUUAUUAAGUCAAUUUCUUUUAUCUUUUUGUUUAAUUUAAAAAUCUAAAUGAUUAAAUAUUUGAGAAUGCAGCUGCGUUAUAUAUUUGUUAGUAGAAUAAGUAUAUCAAUAAGUUAAGUUAUUAAGUCAUUUUUUUAACUGUUCUAGCUUAACCAAGGUUUUCAGAUCGAGACUUGGGAAUACAACUGCUUUAAAUACUUAUUGGGAGAGCUUUGUCGCCUUAGUAGUCAUACUCAGCUCAAAUCUGGAUUAGUCGGGGCCUAAUACAGUCUUCAUAUACUAGAUAGUUUAAUAUACCAAAAAAAAAUCUAAAUGAUAUCAUUAAAACAUAUUCUCUAAAAUAUUUCUAUAUAAUUAAUUAAUUUUCAUACUUACCUAAAUAAAAUCUAUUAAUUAGUAUUAUUACCCAUCUUCUUGUGAUAAUAUAAAGGUAGGAUAUUAUUAUUUUUAUCUUUUAUUUUCUUCAAAUUAGCACUAUUUAUCUUUAUAAUUUUUUCUGAAUAUUUUUCCAAGAAAAUAUCAUAAAUUACAAUAAAAUUGAUUAGCAUAUACUAAUGCAUAAUAUUAAAGGAUGAUAUUCAAUUGAACAUGAUUUAUGUUAUGAUAAUAAAUUAUCCUAUUUAUAUUCUUUGAGAUACUUAUUGUUGGUUUAACAUUUAUAAUUUGUAAGAGUACAAAUGUUUUUAUCUUUUCGUUUAAUUUAAAAAAUCUGAAUGAUAUCAUUAAACAAUAUUCUCGAAAAUAUUUUUAUCUAAUUAAUUAAUUUUCAUCUUUACCUAUGUAAAAUUUACUAAUUAGUAUUAUUACUUGUUGUCAAGAGAAAACAAGAAAGCAUGCACGUGAGUUGCGUGACAUAAGCAAGAUGCUAUGAAGAUAUGAGAAUAAGAAGCAUGAUAUAAGUAAAAUGUCACGAAGAUAUGUGAGCAAGAAAGCAUGCAUGUGAGAAGCAUAAUAUAAGCAAGAUGUCAUAACAAUAUGAGAGCAAGAAGUAUGACAUAAGUAAGAUGUUAUGAUGUAGGAAGUUAUUUUUCAUAUUUAAAGAUUCUAGAAUUUUAUUAUUUUAGGAUUUUCUAUUUUUAUUAGGGUCAAUUAAGGUAUGAGAUUUAAUUAACUUAGGAAACUAUCUUUUGUUUCCAUUAUAAUUGUGAUUUAUUUCCUCUUUUUAAGUUAACUUAGGAAAGUGAGUUUACUCUAUUAUAAAUAGAAAGGUCUUAUUAUUAUUUUCAAAACUUCAAAUUCAAUUAUUCAGUAAAACUCUCCUUUUAUAAUUUCUUCUGGAAUUAUCUAUCAAAAUCUCUCUUGUAGAAUCAUUUGGAUUAGAGUGUCAUUUAAUAUCGGGUUGCGCGUUAUUAAAAAUCUCAUUGAGUCAUUUAGAUUAGAACGAGAUCUAAUCACCCUUCGAUUAGAACGUAACCUAAUUGUGUUGGCUUGGUCCAUUACUACAAUUAUAUCUAGUAUUUUAAUCCAAUCAAUCCCGCUUUCGCUACACUCGCUCCAUCAUGUUAUGAAGAUGUGAGAGCGAGAAGCAUGCAUGUGAGCUGCGUGACAUGAAUAGGAUAUCAUGAAGAUAUGUGAUUGAAAGAAUGAGGACAUUACGUAAGCAUGCGGUCAUGAAGUCAAAGUCAUUGCAAUUGCAAAGGAAGAAUCCAGAACCCGCUAUUUAAACCCAAAAGAAAAAUUUAGAAGUUUUAGAAACCCAAUUUAAGAAGAAGAUAAAUAUAGAUUUAAGAUAAAACUCUAAUUAACUUGUAAAAGCUGAUUAGAACAAGAAGUUAUCAACGACUUAGGGCACCUAAAAUUAUAUUAUAAAUAGAGGGUUCUUCAUGCAUAGAAGACAAAAGCAAGAGUUAAGUCGGAAAAAAAAAGGAAGAAUUUUUUUUAAUUCUCAUAAGGGUUAGUUUGUGAGUGCUGUACCUUUUAAAAUAAUUGAUGUUAGCUGUGUUGUAUAAAUAAUCAGCUGUGAAGCGAAUCAGUUAAGUGUUUGGUAAAUUUUGUUUUUAGAAGUACUGUGAGUUUUGAAAGCAGUUAUGAACGUUGGGUAACUUUUACUGUUAAAUUGUUGAGAAAAAAAUAAAUGGCUAAAAUGUACAUAAUGCAUGAUAAAAUUUACUUAUGCAUAUAAAAAUAUGUACAUAUAAUAUUUUUAUAUGUGUAUUAUAAUAAUUUUUAUUAAAAAUAGAAUUUAUAAUAUAUUGAUUUUAUUUUUUAUUAUCUUAAAACAAUCGAUAAUUAAAUUUAUAAUAUAGUAAAACAAAUUUAAUAAUAAUUCAACCAACAAAUUGAAAUUAAUAAAUUUAUAUUGAUAAAUUAUAAUAAAAAUUUAUUAAAAUAUUGAUUUUAUUUCCAAUUUGAAUAAAGAUAAAAAUAAUUUUGGGUUUAAGUAAUAAUUUUAAGGAUAUUUAUGGAAUUAGAUUAAAGGAUAAAAUUCAUUCUCAAAAUUAGAAUCUAAAAGCUACUUUUUCCUUGCUUUUUAAAAUUAGUUGUAGGAGGGACUGAUUUUGAUGAAAGUAAUUUUGAUUUUUUUUUUACCAAAUACUAAAAUUAACUUUUAGAUUUUCAAAAUCCCUUUUAAGCUUCCUAAAAGUAAUUCCAAACGGGCCGUAAAUGGUGAAAGUUGCUCUUUUUAUUCCCAUGAACGUAGGUUAAGCAUUGAACUACGUAAAUUCUCUAUGUUUUAUUUUUUUUUAUAUCGUCUUGUUUGUGUAAUUUUUCAAUUGACCAAAAAUCGGCAUUGGCAUUAUCUAUCCCUAUAACCUGUGAUAAUAUAGUGGUAAGACUAGUAGUAAGUUAAUUUCAAUCAACUAAAGCUAUUAAGUCCUCCUUUUUUCAACUUAAUGAAAAUUUACAGUUAUUAAUGAUUAAGUUAUUAAGCAAACUUUCUUAAGUUUUUGUUUAAUCUAAAAAGUCUAAAUGAUGUUAUUAAAAUAUAUUUUCUAAAAUAUCCCCGUAUAACUAAUUAAUUUUUAUCCUUACCUAGUUUUAUUACCCAUCUCAAUAACUUGUGAUAAUAUAGUGGUGAGACUACUAUUAUUUUCUUCAAAUUUACAUUAUUUAUCUUUAUAACUUUAUAUGAAUAUUUUUUGUCUAAAAACAUCAUAAACUAGAACAAAAUUGAUUAAACAUAUAUUGUAUUCAAUUGAACAUGAAUAAUGUUAUGAUAAUAUAUUAUUUUAUUUAUAAUCUUUGAGAUAUUUAUUAUUUGUUUAACAUUUAUAAUUUACAAGGGCACACAUGUAAAAAUACUAAUUUUCAUAUUUUUUAAGUUAAAAAAAUUUAAUACUUAUUUCUAACGAUUCAUAUAAAAGAAACAUUUAGAUUUAUACAUUCAAUUUUUUUAUUGCUAUCCCCAUCCAAAUAUUAUAUAUAUAGAGAGAGAGAGAGAGUCUGUCACCUCUCAACAAAACCAAUCUUGUUCACACGGCGCAUGAUGGAGUUGUAGCUCUCUUCUCAUCAUACGUUUAAACACUGUCAAUUUUAAUUCAUUCGUACUCCUCUUUUGUUUUCAAAUGAAUGUAUAUCUUGCAAAGAGCUGUAUAUAGCAUCUCUAAUUAUGAAUAACCCCAUGCAAGCUAGCUCACAACAGAAAAUUAGAAACUUAUUAUACAAAUUACUCAUAUAAUUAACAAAAAGAAAAAUGUACUUAUUUACAGGACACUACAACAAAAUCAGUUUUUAUUCCGGAUGUCGUAAUUAAGUCCUAAUUAAAAUUUGAAACAAAAUCUUCGUUCAUAAGUAUAUAUAUAUAUAUAUAUAUAUAUAUGGUUGGCUUUUAGCAGUUAUUUAUGUCAAGAUCGCUUUAGAUCAAAAUUUUAACAAAAUAUAAGCGUUUGAAUGAGACAACUUUUACACCAUAAGAAAUAAGUCUAAAUAACAUAUGCCAGCAACACAAACUAAUUUACACCAUCCUUGUUGUCCCAAAUACGUUCCUUUCUACUUUAAAAGAUGCUAGUGCUAAAUCUGCAACUUUGCAAGAUUCAUUUUCAUAACAGCAUGAACCAAGAAGUUUAAUAAGACUCCAAAACUGUACAACAAACUUGGUGAUCACAAGCUUCCUUAAUUCUUAUUAACAAACUCAUUAACGAAUGUGACUGAACAAUAAUUUUUUAGCCCUGUGAUCACGCCAACAACUUUAAACCUUAGAAUAUGCAUCUCAUCAUAGUAUCUGCACUACCUAACUUUUGAAACUUGCAUCAGAUAGCCAUCAUUAUAUUAAGCCACCAAAAAAUUUCACAUCACCUAGUUUCUACCACCACCUAUCUUUUAUAAGAAGUUCAUGUAACCAUAUAGUCACCAAAAUAAUCUGCACUACCUAAUUUUUGAAACUUGUAUCAUCAAAACACUUUUUCCAAAAAAUCGGGAGAACCUCCCAUCGGCUAAAUGAAAAACUUAAUUUGAGUUUCAUUCUGCUCUGAAGAACAAAAAGUCCAAAGAAAAACUUUAUUUGACCUUUUUGUUAUUCAAUAAAUAAAAAUGACAAACAAUGUCUUCAACUAACAAACAUAAAAGAAGCUGUCCUGGCACCGUAUUACCCGACUCCUUAUUAAUCAAUCCAAAAUAAAAAUACAAGAGCCAUAGGGGCUAGCCAGACGCAAGGCUAGAGUUCAACACUCCAUGCCAAGCUAGUGUCCAAAUCUGCAAGCCAAUCUAUCUUCUCCCAAAUGUCCUCACCGUUAAAAAUGUACCUUUUGACGUUGUUUACACAAUUAGAUGUAUACUCAACCACAACUUCCUCUAUGCACUGCCGCCAGCAUGAGAUGGGACGGGAUUUGCAGCAUUGAGCAAUCCCUCCUUCAUAUACUGCCUGCUUCUUAUAAGAAAACUCAAACUGAAACAAAAGGACAAGGCACUUAUAAGCAAAGCAGCGUUUGUUACAAGCACGCAAAACAAAGGCAUAAACGUAAAAUGGACCAACUUAAGUACCAGCAUUACAUGUGUAUCAUAAUCACAUAAUUCUCACAGUAUAAACCAAGAACUAAUUCAGACCAAUGCAAAAUCUUCAGUACCUUAAAAGAGAACCAGUUCAAGUAAAAUGAUUUGAUUGUAACAGUCCUUAAAUGAGGUGAAAUCCAGAGCAAACCAUCGAUAGUGUUUUUAAUUGCGACUCGCACACGGGUUCCAGUUAUUACAAAGUCCAGGUUGUUGUAACCAUAGAAUGGGGAAGAUUGGAUUUGCCUCAAGUCUUCUGGAAUAUCCGCAUUCUGCACAAAAGAAUUUGAAUAAUAUAUAAGAAAUAAAAAAGUAUGUAAAAUAGUAAACAGCUCGAUAUUUAAAUGUAUACAUAUAGAAUGCAAGAAGUGACAUACCUCACCCUUGUAACUUUCCAAAUUCACCCCUUUGGAAACAUUAUGGAACAUUGCAAGGAGUCCAAUAUACUCAGAAUACCAGUCAAUGUCGCUGUUAUUCUUGUCGAAAUUGAGAUGAGUUUCCAACAAAGUCAUAGCACCUAUAGAGAAGGAUACCACAUCACCUUCAUAUCUGAAAAUACUUAAAUUAGGAGCCUCAAUCUUGACUUCAAUCAACCCUGCACAUUCAAAGAUCUUCAGCGUCUUAAGACUGAGACUUGAAAUCUUAAUACUCUUCAACUUGUCACAACCAACCAAAUUCAAAUUCUCGAGGAAUGGAAAGUUAGGAAUUUGGCUACAAAGCCACUCAUCCUUCAGAGAAAGCAGGCGCAGAGUUAAAAAUUUAAUAUUCUUACAGGAGGCUACAUUGAUCUCGCAUGGUAAGCUUAAUUGAAUGCUAACUGUCUUCACAUUCAGAGCUUGGAUAGAAAGCCAUAGAACUUCCAGACAGUUACGAACCUUGAAUUCAUUGAGUUUGGUAAGACCAGAUAGAUCUAGAGUAUUAAAGCCAAGGCAGUUAACCAGACUUAGAUGUUCAAUCAAAGGACAGCCAUCAACUAGGCUCUCAAGGACUAGAUCGGCAGCAUAAACGCUUGUGAGACAUAAUUUUUUCAAAGAAGAUAACUUCACACUUCUCAGAGACUGCAGCUUACAACAACUUAAGGCUAACACUUGUAUUGAUUUUGAGCAUAAAACCUCUUGAGGCAAAUUGUAGCAGCGCUUGUUACGAGCGUCAACUGAAGGCAUUCCUGGUCUAGUAUCAACAACACGUGCACUAGUAUGAAAUGGAAGUGCGAGUUUCAGCUCUUUGACAUCACUUUCUAAUGCAGAGAAGAUACACCGGUCUACAAAUGGUCCGAGUUCUUUUACCCGUAAUUCAUACAAGUCAAGUGUGAACUUGUCUAACCUUAUCAUCUCCCUGCGGCGGGUGCGCAGAGUUCCCUCUACAUAAUUUAAUGCCCUGCUUAACUUCUCAUCUCCAAGUUGAGCUUCAAUUUUGUUGUUGCAAGAAACCGAAGGAACUUGAUUAAAGAAAGUUUUACCAAAUUCCAAAAUUGGGAAUGUACGCCAGGCUCGUUCCCAUGCUUGCGACAAAACAGUUGUUUGAACUACUUGUUUAAAUGAGAGGAAUGACAAAAUACAAUGCAGUAUUGGUUCCGGCAAAUUAGAUAUCCUGUCCAUGCUGCUAAGCACCUCCUCCAUAAUAACAAUAUCAUCACCAGAUUCCCUGAAUCAGUAGCAACAUCUUCCUUCUAAGUAUGCUAAUUAAAUUGAGACAACUGAGUACUAAUAAUAAUAAGAAUAUUGGCUGGAUUCUAUCAAUUUAAUUCAAUGUAAUAAAGAAAAUAAAUAAUCCUAACAAAAACUCUUUUGAAUUGAACAUGUUUAAUUUCUUUUUUGUACGAGAAGAGACACUGAAACUUUCACUUUCACCGGAAAAAGAAAAAUCAGCCUAAAACAGAACUGAAUUAUUUAUAAAAGAAAAGAAAGGAAAAGAAAAGAAAAAGAGACACGUUAACACAGAACCAAUAUGGAUGAGGAUGAUAAAAUACCUAUUCAUCCGAUCGAUCAAUCGUGACAGUCCAACAGCGACAGCGACGGCAACCGAAACAGCAGAACUGUCAAGAAAGGAUUGAUCUGCUUUAACUAUGUUUUGUAUAGGCUUAAUUUUGAGGAUUCCGAAUCCAAAACAGACAAAGUCACAACAGCAAAAUUAUGUAGGCUCAGUCUGCCCCGUGUAUAUAUAUUUUGAAAAUUCCAAAUCCAAAUCGGACACGUCCUUCUGCUUCUCCUAACGCGAAUCGGACAUGCGGCUAGUCGCUACGCAACAGUAAUUAAGCUUUUUGGAGAUAAGAGUGGUUUCGUUUCCAUC
RNAcentral lists this long non-coding RNA (33142 nucleotides) under Citrus maxima (pomelo). RNAcentral describes it as "long non-coding RNA (CMAX_LNC000080)". The record is from RNAcentral. Lineage: Eukaryota; Viridiplantae; Streptophyta; Magnoliopsida; Sapindales; Rutaceae.